GGGAACCGUAACCGCCGUGUGUCCCUGUGAAUAGAGAAUUGUAUCCACCUCGUUACAGCUAAACGAAAAGGACUAUAGAGGGCGAGCACUGUAUGAUAAUUUAUUCAAUCUCCGGUUGGGGCACGUUAAACAAACCGAUGUAGGGGGAAAUAGCCGUAGGUCGCCCACCCCACCCCCACACAAAUAGAUAACGUUUAACGUAGUCUACAAUCGUGACUGUAUUUGCAUUUUCGGUUGGUAGCAAACAAGAGCUUCCUGUAAACAAACGAAUUUACCGCCGCGGCCGGUGGUGGCUGGUACGCUCCAGGAAUCUGAGGUGCGGCAGGUUCCUCCGCUCCCUCUGGAAAUCGAGGGGGCCCCGGUGUACUCCAUUAGUUCCAUCCUGGAUUCGAGGCGUCAGGCAAGGGACCUUCAGUACCUCAUGGAGUGGGAUGGGUACGGUCCGGAGGAGAGGUGCUGGGUCCCGGAUGUGAAUGUGUUGGACCCCGAACUGCUGCGGGAGUUUCACCGUCGCCGGCCGGAUCGCCCUGCGCCUCGCCCUCUGGGUCGUCCCCGAGGCCGGUGUCGGCGCGCCACUGGAGCCGCGCGUCAAGGGGGGGGUACUGUCACGACUUCCGCCGAAGUCGGCUCCUGUCCUUGUUCGGGCGGCGUUUGGCGAUCGACGUCACCGGCUUUCUAGCCAUCGCCGCUCCAUUUUUCAUAUUUCCAUUUGUUUUGUCUUGUUCCAUACACACCUGGUUUUCAUUCCCUAAUCACACUGCAUGUAUUUAGUCCUCUGUUCCCCUCCAUGUCUUUGUGUGAAAUUGUUUUAUGUUAUGUGGGUAUUUGUCACGUGCCAGACUUUUGUUCAUUUUCCGUGUUUUGGGCACGUUUAUGUACUUAUGUGCUUUCGUUUUGGACCGGAAUAAAAAGUGUGUCUGUUACUACA
Molecule: long non-coding RNA, 928 nt
Organism: Salmo salar (Atlantic salmon)
Lineage: Eukaryota; Metazoa; Chordata; Actinopteri; Salmoniformes; Salmonidae
Source: RefSeq, a predicted model, not a curated record